AUUGAACGCUGGCGGCAGGCCUAACACAUGCAAGUCGAGCGGAUGAAGGGAGCUUGCUCCUGGAUUCAGCGGCGGACGGGUGAGUAAUGCCUAGGAAUCUGCCUGGUAGUGGGGGAUAACGUCCGGAAACGGGCGCUAAUACCGCAUACGUCCUGAGGGAGAAAGUGGGGGAUCUUCGGACCUCACGCUAUCAGAUGAGCCUAGGUCGGAUUAGCUAGUUGGUGGGGUAAAGGCCUACCAAGGCGACGAUCCGUAACUGGUCUGAGAGGAUGAUCAGCCACACUGGAACUGAGACACGGUCCAGACUCCUACGGGAGGCAGCAGUGGGGAAUAUUGGAGAAUGGGCGAAAGCCUGAUCCAGCCAAGCGGCGUGUGUGAAGAAGGUCUUAGGAUUGGAAAGCACUUAAAGUUGGGAGGAAGGGCAGUAAGUUAAUACCUUGCUGUAUUGACGUUACCAGCAGAAUAAGCACCGGCUAACUUCGUG
RNAcentral lists this ribosomal RNA (484 nucleotides) under uncultured bacterium. RNAcentral's name for it is "partial 16S ribosomal RNA". It matches the Rfam family "Bacterial small subunit ribosomal RNA", at positions 30 to 507 of the family's 1533-position model. The record is from RNAcentral.